CAGUAGCCACGGUAAUACGUAGGUGGCAAGCGUUGUCCGGAAUUAUUGGGCGUAAAGGGCUCGCAGGCGGUUUCUUAAGUCUGAUGUGAAAGCCCCCGGCUCAACCGGGGAGGGUCAUUGGAAACUGGGAAACUUGAGUGCAGAAGAGGAGGGUGGAAUCCCACGUGUAGCGGUGAAAUGCGUAGAGAUGUGGAGGAACACCGGUGGCGAAGGCGACUCUCUGGUCUGUAACUGACGCUGAGGAGCGAAAGCGUGGGGAGCGAACAGGAUCAGAUACCCCUGUAGUCCCUGUCUCUUAUAC
Molecule: ribosomal RNA, 301 nt
Filed under: uncultured bacterium
Lineage: Bacteria
Description: partial 16S ribosomal RNA
Rfam family: Bacterial small subunit ribosomal RNA
Source: RNAcentral